RNAcentral lists this ribosomal RNA (143 nucleotides) under uncultured eukaryote. RNAcentral describes it as "partial 18S ribosomal RNA". It matches the Rfam family "Eukaryotic small subunit ribosomal RNA", at positions 1299 to 1458 of the family's 1831-position model. The record is from RNAcentral.
UGGUGGAGUGAUUUGUCUGGUUAAUUCCGUUAACGAACGAGACCUCGACCUGCUAAAUAGUUUGGCGAACUCUUCUGGGUUCGUACUAACACUUCUUAGAGGGACUAUCGGUGUGUAGCCGAUGGAAGUUCGAGGCAAUAACA